Oryctolagus cuniculus (rabbit) is the source of this 2840-nucleotide non-coding RNA. NCBI's taxonomy places the organism in Eukaryota, Metazoa, Chordata, Mammalia, Lagomorpha, Leporidae. The record is from RefSeq and is a predicted model, not a curated record.
AGCUAUGUUAUAGCACCCAGCUCAUCAACCUCACACUAAUGGCAGUAUGUCUAUAACUCUAGCUUUAUAUGAAGGUUGUAGGUAGAUGUCUGUAUUUGUGUGAACCUUUAAAUGCUAUGUGGUGAUGAUAAUGAAGCUGAUUUAUGCUGCUUACCAGAUGAGUCCCUAAGGCUGCUUAGAAACUGUGACAUAAGAUCAAAGGCAACUUGCAGAGAGCUAUGAUGUCACAAUUGAUCUUCAGGGCUUAGCUUUUUAAACUGGUGUGGUUUGGACCAGGACUUCACCAACUUGUUCCUGAAGUGCCCCCACAGUAGUGGACAGUGAAGCCUACAUGCUUGCAGUCUGGUGAUGAUUGAAGCACACCAUUCCUUUGACUUCUCCAGGUACAAUUCUACCACCUGUGGGUAAGGCGUAACUGUUUCCUCUAAUAGUAUAUCUGCUGCCUGGUUCUCAUCAAGGACAGAAUCUCCAGCUCCAUGGGUCUGUGUUGAUUCUUUUAAAUUGUGUUGGUCUUUCAAUUUGAGCACAUAAACAAACAAAAUCUAAGAACAUAUAGCUUGGCAUAAAAAAUUGCUUUGUGUAUUUCCACUGGUGUCUUAUAGCUGCAGUUGGCAACAUCUGGUUAAAGGACACCAGAGGUUCAGUUUCAGUAGAACUGAGGUGGAGUUCAGGGGUUUUUGUUGUUAAUGAUCUUCCCAGGUGCUUCUGAUAAACACUCAAGUUUGAGAACUCUUGAUUUAUUUAUCAGGAAAAUAUUAAAUCUUUAUAGAAAAUUUUGGAAUGGGAUAUCUAGAUGUUUGCUAUACUACAAAUAAAUAGAUAAGGCAUAGUUCCAGUUUCCGUGACAAUUUGGUACAGAACAUAUAUUUUUGUGGCAUUUUAACUCUGUUUAGAAUAUUAGGUAGGAUAUAAGGAAAUUAAAAUUAAUAUGACAUGAAUAAACAAUAUUUUUGUUUGAAAGGCAGAAUGAGAGAGAGAGAGAGAGAGAAAGAUCAUCUAUUCGCUGGUUCACUCUCCCAUUGACUGCAACGACCAGGGAUGGGUCAGGAUGAAGCCAGGAACCUGAAACUCCAUCUGUAUCUCCCACGUGGAUGGUAGGGGCCCAACCACUUAGGCCAUCAUCCACUGCUUUCCCAGGCACAUUAGUAGGGAGCUGGAGGGAAGUGGAGCAGCCAGGACACGAAUCAAUUACUCAUAUGGGAUGCUGGAGUUGCCAAUGGAAACUUAACCUGCUCUGCCAGGUUAACAAUUACUAACAAUUGAAUAUGCUCAUAAUUUUCACAGGGAAUAAAAUCUCUAGAUAGGGAUAUGUGAAAAGGAACAUACUUCAAGGAUAAUCAUGGUUAGUGGAAAAGAGAGAGUGAUAUCAGGGGAGCCUUCCUCCCAGACUACCUUGCUUGUACUUACUACUUCAUUUGUUGAGUCUCUUGAAAGCAACUAUGUGUUGCAAUAGAAAGCGCCUUGGCCUUGACAUGAGAUUCCUUGUUUUAAAGGCCUGCUUUGCCCCUCUCCAGCUAAGUAAUCCUCAGAAAGUUCCUUAACCUUUCUGAACCUGGAAUUCCUAUUUGUGAAACAAUAAUAAUGCCAGCAUGAGAAAUGUUUUGGUAAUCUGAGCAUGAAAUAAUAUUAUUCAUAUUAUGAAACUAUGAAAGGAACAAUUUCUGGUAUGUUUAUUUUUCAACAAACACCUGUAAAUAUGAGUGUUUAAAAUGUUCCAGAAUGAUUUAUUUAUCUCUAUAACAUUUUGGUGUGGUGUGUAUUUAACUUGGUGUUUUAUAGCAGCAGUUUCCAGAAUUUGGUUCAGAGACAUCAGAGCUUCUGUCUGGUUAGUAGAUAUGCAAUGGGACCUCUUUAAUCUUCUUAUGAAAAACGAACAUUUUGCAUUCUUAUUUAAUAUUACACUAAAUUUAUAGAUAAAUUUAAAUUCAUUACUAAAGACUCAGGAUGAUCUUUAGAAUAUGCAUUACAAUUGUACUUUCUAUUCUUUACUCCACUAAAAAUUGUUGGAAUUUUAAUUUUACUUUUUUUUUACAAGAAUUCUUGACUUUUAAAGACUAUAAAUAAUUAUUUCCCUUUAUAUUUAUUUCUUACUUUUAGCUGAGCUAAAAGUAUGAUUUUUUAAUCGCCAAUUUAUUUAUAUUUUAAAGAUUUAUUUAUUUAUUUGAAAGGCUUAAUUACAAACAGAGAGAGGGAGAGACAGAGAGAAAGGUCUUGCAUCUGCUAGUGCACUCCCCAAAUGGCCACAAUGGUGGAGCUGGGCCAAUCCAAAGCCAGGAGCUAGGAGAUUCUUCUGGGUCUCCCACGUAGGUACAAGGGCUCAAGGACUUGGGCCAUCUUCCACUGCUUUCCCAGGCUAUUAGCAGGGAGCUGGAUCAGAAGUGGAGUAGCUGGGACUUGUACAGGCACCAAGUUCCCUUCCUUUUCCUGAGUGAUCUCCUUAAUUUUGCCAUGAUUAGCAGACUUUACCAGACAAAUUUUCAUUUCCUCUGUUAUACAGGUAACAAGGUGUGCCAUCCUAGCUCUGUCAGCCUGGUCCUCAUGAUCCCAACAGGGUUCCUGAUCCGGAACUGCUUCUAUUUUCCCACCUGGUAUACUAAAUGUUAGGAGUGAAUGCUGACAAAGUUGUUGGCACACUCUCAGGCUUUCUUAAGGAUACAAUCAUUUUUUUAAAAAUCAGAAAUACAACAAUUAAAGUUAGUUGAAUUAGUUAAAACAACAAUAUUCCACUAAUCUAGUGAGAGUUAAGCUUAGUUUGAUAGACUCAUUCCUAAACCCUUCUAGGUCCUCAGAAAACUUGCCAAGCUUUUCUUAACAUAGUCCUAAGACAGUUACCAUCUGAG